GGUUGCGUAGCUCAGUUGGUUAGAGCAUCGGACUUUUAAUCUGGUGGUCGCAGGUUCGAGUCCUGUCGCAACUA
Molecule: transfer RNA, 74 nt
Filed under: Chloroparvula pacifica
Lineage: Eukaryota; Viridiplantae; Chlorophyta; Chloropicophyceae; Chloropicales; Chloropicaceae
Description: tRNA-Lys
Rfam family: tRNA
About the family: Transfer RNA (tRNA) molecules are approximately 80 nucleotides in length. Their secondary structure includes four short double-helical elements and three loops (D, anti-codon, and T loops). Further hydrogen bonds mediate the characteristic L-shaped molecular structure. tRNAs have two regions of fundamental functional importance: the anti-codon, which is responsible for specific mRNA codon recognition, and the 3' end, to which the tRNAs corresponding amino acid is attached (by aminoacyl-tRNA synthetases). tRNAs cope with the degeneracy of the genetic code in two manners: having more than one tRNA (with a specific anti-codon) for a particular amino acid; and 'wobble' base-pairing, i.e. permitting non-standard base-pairing at the 3rd anti-codon position.
Source: RNAcentral